This 488-nucleotide long non-coding RNA is filed under the name Cyanistes caeruleus (blue tit). RNAcentral describes it as "lncRNA (ENSCCEG00000001745.1)". Lineage: Eukaryota; Metazoa; Chordata; Aves; Passeriformes; Paridae. The record is from RNAcentral.
CUCACUUGCUCUUGCCAGAAGAGUUCAAGUGGGCUUCUUGCAACAUGCUGAGCUAUUAUUCCCUGGUGGGGUCAUGCAUCUUGUCAGCCACUUAACAGCAGUGGCUGCAGGACACAUUUGGCCAUUAUGUAAUCAGAAAAACCCAAACUUUUAGACCUUGCCUGUAAGGAUUUCAGUCUUCUGCAGAGGAACAAUUGAAAGAUGUAUCACAAUGUACUUACAGUGCAGCAACAGCUUGUUCUGUAUGUGUGUCUUGUUUCCUUGUGAGAACUCAUUCAGGACAGAAGUGAAAAGCAAAGUUAAUGCAGACAGUUCUGCUUUUGCAAAGUCCUUCUGAUUCUCAGUGCUGAGACUCUACUCUCAUGAAGGCGCCAUCAGGAUGAAUGACAAAAAGAGGGAAUAACUGUGGUUUAAAGUUGAAGAAGAUUAUGUGACACGAGCUUUUAAAGAAGCAGAAGCUGCAAAAAUAAAAGCAGACGUUUGGAGCA